CUGUGUUGGCCAGGCUGGUCUCAAACUCCUGACCUCAAGUGACCCACUAGCCUCCCAAAGUGCUGGGAUUACAAGCAUGAGCCACCGUGGCCUGUCAUCCUUUAGUCUUUUCUUGGUGCCAAGAUGCUUUUAGGAAAUGAUGGUGCCAGUAGAUGGCAGUUUUAUUUUUUAAUGUUUUCUUUGGAAAAAUGUCAACAGUUGUUCAUCUGCCACCCAAUUGAAAACAAAUUCAAAAUGAUGCAACAAAAACUGGUUGAUGAAAUCCUCAAGUCUGGGAACCACUGGGUUGCACUGAGUGGGCCGGGCAGGGCAUCUGGCAGCAUCAGCACCCAGAUCAUCGCUCUGGGAGGUGGAUUUGAACUGCCAAGCACCCAUCCAGGUUUCAAGUGAACUUUGGCGCUGCUGGGGGACAUUACUAUCCCCUGGAAGAAUUCGAGUUGGGCUUAGGCCCAUAUCUCUUCUUCACCUCAAUGUAAGAUUAGAUAUUUUCUGCUCUCCAAUGAUUCAUCUGGAUUUUUUCCUCAGCCUUCUAAUUUGUGAUGAAACAGUAUGAUGGAACUCAGGAUUUCCUGUCAGUUUAAUCUGUUCCCGCCCCCGAGUCAUUGGAACUGGAAAUAGCCAAUCAAAUAAUUGCAGUAACAGCUGCCUACUGUGGGUGACCAGCUGGAGUUUGCGAGGCAGGCGGUCUGAAGAGGGCUUGUCACUGGGUCCUCACAGUCAUUGCUCCCUCCAGCAAGCAAGGAUGACACGCUGACGUCUCUGGUGAAUCCUGGCGAUGUUCCCUUUUGCACUCUUGGGUGGCAUUGGACUUGCUGGGACAGGCUGUCUCCUUGCCUGCUUAAGCCCGGCCAAAGGAAUUCCCAGUGCAGCGUUCCCCCCAGGCCCUCUGGCACACAUGGCCACCACUCCCACUUAUGAAAUCCUGACAUGCUUUGGGUAUGCGGAUAACCCUUGCAGGCCACAGGACCCAGAUGAGUGACAGCACAACUUGGCAUCACCUAAGUAGGGGGGACACGAACAUUGAGCUCCAACCCAGAUUAAAAAACAAUGACUACCUUUAAUGAGGUCUGAUUUACAUAUGAUAAAUGCACUCAUUUAAUCGGAUAGUCAAUAUGUGUUGACAAAUCAAUAUCCCACAGUGACCACCAAAACCAAGUAUAGAACAUUUUUAUCCAAAAAGUUUUCUCAUGAUCCUUUGUAGUCAGGGACUACCCCGGCUCUGCCCCUGGCCCCAGGCCUCACUAUUCUGCUUUCUGUCACUAUGGUUUAAUUUUGUCUUUUCUAGAAUUUAAUACAAAUGGAAUCAUUCAGGAUAUAUGCUUUUGAGUCUGGAGAAGACCCAGUGUAAGUCUGACACCCACAAUUAGAUAACUUUGUGACCCUUGGCAAGACACAGUUCUGUCUUCAACUGUUUCCUUACUAGUGCAAUGGGGUAAUAAUAACUUACAGCCAGCAAGCCUUCCUUCCUGCCCCCUCCCUCCCUCCCUCCCUCCCUUCAUGUGCGCAGCUGCUACAGUGAGCUCCACUGUAAAAUUCCAGAAAGGAGCUGGGUCAGGGGUUGCUCAGGAAACAGGAGCCUCUGCUCCCUCCACCUCUGACUGUCACAGAAGGCUUCCUGCUACCCUCCUUCCAUGCUCAUCCCCAGCCUCCCUGGUGCCAUAGUCUGCAGGUCCCUGUAUCCCUUCAAGGAGGACUCCUUUUAUUUAAAUAAGGGAGAUAGGAAGAUACCCCUGGAAAGAACCAGAUGUGGUGAUGAGGGCCCCCACCCUCAUGAUGGGCAAAGGCCAGAGGUGACCAGGGCCUGAGCAGCAGGAAGGACCAUUUCAGAGGGUGGGGAUGCAUAGAGGCCUGGAGUGGGGCCUGCCUGGCCCUGGGGCUCGGGACAUUGGAGUUUUCAGGGGAAGCAGUGAGUGGAAGGCCUGUGGAGCUGCUGGACACCAGGUGAGUGGUGGCAUCAGGACACACACACUGCUCAGAACCACCCAGGAACAACCUGAUGGACACCUUUGUGCCCUUUUUUUUUUUUUUUGAGACGGAGUUUUACUCUUGUUACCCAGGCUGGAGUGCAAUGGCGUGAUCUCUGCUCACCGCAACCUCUGUCUCCUGGGUUCAAGCAAUUCUCCUGCCUUAGCCUCCUGAGUAGCUGGGACUACAGGCGUGCGCCACCAUGCCCAGCUAAUUUUUGUAUUUUUUAGUAGAGACGGGGUUUCACCAUGUUGACCAGGAUGGUCUCGAUCUCUUGACCUUGUGAUCCACCCAUCUCGGCCUCCCAAAGUGCUGGGAUUAUAGGCGUGAGCCACCGUGCCUAGCCCCUUUGUGCCCUUCACAGCACAACUUGCCAACACUGGACACACCCAGAAGCACUUGCAGAUCAGAGAUCACUGCACACACAGCAUAGUCCCUGCUUUCCUGGAUCUCACGUGCUAAAACAUGACCACAUCCAGGCUACAGCAGCCCGUCCUUAGACAGAGAUGCGGAGGGUCCUGAGUCUGGUCGAGUCCUGAGUUCCAGCCUCCAGACUGGUCCUGCCAAGCUGCUCGGCAUAUGUCGCAGCAGGGCAGCGCUGUGCUGCCCUCUACUGGACACAUGGAGGCGGUGCCUCCCCACGCUGUUGUCCACUCCUGGCAAUGAAUGGGCUCAGGGGAAGUGGACCAUGUUUCUGGUCCCUUGCUUCUGACAACCUGGCAGAGCAGAUAUGGAAUGGCGGAGCAGAUAUAUAAGAACUCUUAUCCCAGUGCCCUGACCUCCGUAUUAUUCCCUGUGUGCCCCGCACUCCCCUUCCCUUCCCUAUAAGUGCCUGGAUUUAAGAAGUGACAAUGGAGGCAAAACAUGUUGCUUUUUCAGCCAUCUCCUGCGGUGUCCCCUUUCCAUGGCCUCAUCCUCUCAUGGCCCCCAGCGGUCACAACUGGUCUCUCUUGGCCAUCUUUCAUCCAGUGGGGAUGGAGGGACCCGUGCCAUUUCUGGAAGGAGCACCUGAGUUUGGAGGUGAAACAUAGGUGAUACCUUAUCCAGGUGACCCCUUCGCCAGGCCACAAAACCAUGGUUCAUAGAUGAGGUCGGGCAUUGUGGCUCAUGUCUAUAAUCCCAGCACUUUGGAAGGCUGAAGCCAGAGGAUGACUUGAGGCCAUCCUAGCGUCUAGUCCCAGCUACGCAGAAGGUUGAGGCAGGGAGGUAACUUGAGCCCAGGAGUUUGAGGCUUCGGUGAGCUGUGAUCGGUUGUACCUCUGCAUGUCAGCCUGGUCAAGGAGGAAUGUUAGGGGUGGGACUGGACUAGAAGAGAGGCUGGGACGUCGAGAUGAGGUUGCAGGGACGCUGCGGUGGGAGAAGACGAGCCCCCACCUGUUUGUCCUCGGCAAGGAGUGACUGAGGCUCAAAAAGCCACAACCUUGCCCCAAAUUGAUGCAGCGGGUGCAGGCAGGGUCCACACCUCGAAGCUUGCUGAUAUCCUCGGCGGCGGGUCGUCCUGCAGAACCGCGUUCCCUGCGCCCAGCAAGGCCCAACCCCCACCAGGAUUCCCAGAACUGGGUGUCCCGCGCGUCCCCAGCAGGCGGAGACGAGACCUCCGUGUCGGCGCUGCACACAGCGGCCAGCAGGGGGCGUUGGAGCCCCGCGUUUGAGCAGCCAGGACGCCCCUGCGCGGUUCUGAGUCCUGCGGGCGCCCAUUUCAGGGAUGAGGGCCAGAGAGGGGUCAAACCCGUGUCCUGCCCGGCGCGCGUUCACCGCCUGCCCUCCGGGCACGGCCUUAGCAGCUCGGUCCCGGCCUGAGCGCCUCGGAGUGAAAAGAGUCCCCGCACCUCCCGUGACAGUGUCCCCUUCUCUGUCCACGUUGCAAAAAGCUGGACUUUACUCGCCGUGUCUUUAAAUCUUGAUCACUUCCCCUCGGAAGGCAUGAACCUCUCCGUUUUACAGAUCCGUUUCAUAACAAUAAGCAACGACAAAAAUAACACCAGCAAACCUUUAUGGAGUUCUAAUGAUUGACUGGACCUGCCAGGGCCCUUCAGAGUGGAGUUGGAGCGGUUGCGGAAGAGGGGUCAAAGGCCAGCCCGAGGAGGGGGCCACCCGUGCAGACCCCUCUCCUCCAUCUGAGGGCCUGCGAGGAGGAACAGAUGGGCCAUGGCUUGAGUGACCAGAGUGUGUGGGGAGAGGCCCUGGGAACAGGAGGAGGCCUGGCACCUGCAGAGGAGCAUUGCCAGAGGGCAGGGUGCUUGCAGCUACAGCUGAUCCCAGAGCUGUGCCCAUCUGUGCUAGGACCACUAGUUCUCAAGGCCUGGCCCCAUCCUAUUCCAGCCGCUGGUGCAUCUGGAAGCAGGCCUGGCACAACGCAAUGUGGCAUGGUGGUGAAGGGCUUGGCCUGGGGAACGCCAGAGCCUGGGUUCAAGUCCUGCUGCCACCACUUACCCACUGUGUGAUCUUGGCAUGACCCUUAGCCCCUGCCUCAGUUUCCUUAUCUGUACAAUAAAGAUAAUAAUAGAAUACAGCUCUGUGUUAAACAUGCUUGUUUUGUGUGUUUUAUGAUACUUGGACAUCUUGGAGCCCAAUGAAGCCAGGGAGGAACUGCCCCUAAGGAGGCUUG
This is a non-coding RNA of Callithrix jacchus (white-tufted-ear marmoset), 4573 nucleotides long. NCBI's taxonomy places the organism in Eukaryota, Metazoa, Chordata, Mammalia, Primates, Cebidae. The record is from RefSeq and is a predicted model, not a curated record.